GGCGUUUUUACGUUUUUGAUCAGUCCAAAUUCCUUGGAAUAGGAUAUCAUGGAGGGUGAGAAUCCCGUUCGGCUAAUCGAUACGUUUACGAUACGCUUUCAAAGAGUCAAGUUGUUUGGGAUUGCAGCUUAAAAUGGGAGGUAAAUUUCUCCUAAGGCUAAAUAUUGGCGAGAGACCGAUAGCGAACAAGUACCGUGAGGGAAAGAUGAAAAGUACUUUGAAAAGAGAGUUAAACAGUACGUGAAAUUGUUGAAAGGGAAACGAUUAAAGUCAGUCGUACCGACGUAGUAAUCAGCGCUUCGAAUGCGAUUUUGUGGUUCAUGAGGAAUCUAACGAUCUUCAUGUUUGCAAAUUUGUACUCUUUGGGCGUAUUUUCUCGUAUGGUAAGUUAACAUCAAUUUCGUUCGUUAUAAAAUGAUUGGGGAAAUGUAGCUUUGAUCUCGUAUUGAAGUGUUAUAGACCCUGGUAGAUGUAAUGAUCGGGAUUGAGGAUUGCAACGGAUGCUCUUCGGGGCUAUUCGUCUGGCCUCUGUAGGUCACCUUAGUGUCGAAAGCUUGCUUAUGGCAUCAAGGAUGGUUUUCAAAAGGUUAGAACGGAUUAAAUUCGUUAAGGAUGUUGACGUAAUGGCUUUAAACGACCCGUCUUGAAACACGGACCAAGGAGUCUAACAUAUAUGCGAGUGUUUGGGUGCAAAAACCCUUACGCGUAAUGAAAGUAAUUUAGAUGGGAACAUUUUUUAUGCGCACCAUCGACCGAUCAGGAUAUUUUUUGAUAGAUUUGAGUAAGAGCAUAUCUGCUAGGACCCGAAA
RNAcentral lists this ribosomal RNA (809 nucleotides) under uncultured fungus. RNAcentral describes it as "eukaryotic LSU rRNA". It matches the Rfam family "Eukaryotic large subunit ribosomal RNA", at positions 157 to 821 of the family's 3401-position model. The record is from RNAcentral. Lineage: Eukaryota; Fungi.